UCGUCGCGCUCGGAUGCAGGCAUGNUUCCC
RNAcentral lists this non-coding RNA (30 nucleotides) under Rattus norvegicus (Norway rat). Lineage: Eukaryota; Metazoa; Chordata; Mammalia; Rodentia; Muridae. The record is from RNAcentral.